Molecule: unclassified non-coding RNA, 422 nt
Filed under: uncultured Sebacina
Lineage: Eukaryota; Fungi; Basidiomycota; Agaricomycetes; Sebacinales; Sebacinaceae
Description: sequence contains ITS2
Rfam family: 5.8S ribosomal RNA (bases 1-154)
Source: RNAcentral
AACUUUCAACAAUGGAUCUCUUGGCUCUCGCAUCGAUGAAGAACGCAGCGAAAUGCUAUAAGUAAUGUGAAUUGCAGAAUUCAGUGAAUCAUCGAAUCUUUGAACGCACCUUGCACCCUUUGGAAUUCCAAAGGGUAUGCUCGUUUGAGUGUCAUUGUACUCUCACACUCUCCGAUCCUCUGGAUUUGGGGAGCGGUGGACUUGGGUGCUUGCUGCUUUCCUUGCGGCUCACCUCAAAUGCGUCAGUGCAUCUCUUGAUUGGACAUAGUACGGCGUGAUAAGUGUCUUCGCCGGCACCUCAUAAGAGGGUGGCUGAUCGGGAGCUCUGUGCUUUCAAACCGUCUUCGGACACUCUCUGACAACUUGACCUCAAAUCGAGUAGGACUACCCGCUGAACUUAAGCAUAUCAAUAAGCGGAGGCU